RNAcentral lists this ribosomal RNA (492 nucleotides) under uncultured bacterium. Its description in RNAcentral is "partial 16S ribosomal RNA". It matches the Rfam family "Bacterial small subunit ribosomal RNA", at positions 29 to 507 of the family's 1533-position model. The record is from RNAcentral.
AGUGAACGCUGGCGGUAGGCCUAACACAUGCAAGUCGACCGGCAGCACAGUAAGUGCUUGCUCUUACGGGUGGCGAGUGGCGGAUGGGUGGGGAAUACCUCGGCAUCUACUUAUUCGUGGGGGAUAACGAAGGGAAAUUUACGCUAAUACCGCAUACGACCUACGGGUUAUAGCAGGGGAUCUUCUGACCUUGCGCGAUUGACUGUGCCGAUGUCGGUUUAGCUAGUUGGCGGGGUAAAGGCCCACCCAGGCGACGAUCCGUAGCAGGUCUGAGAGGAUGGGUAGCCACACUGGAACUGAGACACGGUCCAGGCUCCUACGGGAGGCAGCAGUGGGGAAUAUUGGACAAUGAGCGCAAGCCUGAUCCAGCCAUACCGCGUGGGUGAAGAAGGCCUUCGGGUUGUAAAACCCUUUUGUUGGGAAAGAAAAGCAGCAGGUGAAUACACCGCUGUUCUGACGGUACCCAAAGAAUAAGCACCGGCUAACUUCGUG